GGAUGGGAGGGCAAUUUGGCUGCGACUCCUGUCACCCCAUUGAUCGCCAGGGUUGAUUCAGCUGAUCUGGCUGGCGAGCCGGGUGUCCCCUUCCUCCCUCACUGCUCCAUGUGAGUCCUUCCCAAAGCCACGCACACUACAUUGAAAAGGACGACCUUCUCCGCUAAGGGAGGACCAGUCUUUGGUCAAGGGUAUACGAGUAGCUGUGCUCCCCUGCUAGAACCUCCAAACAAGCUCUCAAGAAAGGGCCCUAGAACCUGACAUCUACUUAGGCUUUGUAAAACUAUGGAUCUUGGGCAAGUUGGCUGGUAUGACUAGUAUUUAGAUCUUUAGGGCAUAGUCUUGGAAUGUUCUAA
Molecule: small nuclear RNA, 356 nt
Filed under: Microcebus murinus (gray mouse lemur)
Lineage: Eukaryota; Metazoa; Chordata; Mammalia; Primates; Cheirogaleidae
Description: 7SK RNA (ENSMICG00000024407.3)
Rfam family: 7SK RNA
About the family: 7SK was discovered as an abundant small nuclear RNA in the mid-70s but a possible function has only recently been suggested. Two independent studies have found that 7SK RNA binds the CDK9/cyclin T complex (known as elongation factor P-TEFb).
Source: RNAcentral